RNAcentral lists this ribosomal RNA (750 nucleotides) under bacterium. RNAcentral's name for it is "bacterial SSU rRNA". It matches the Rfam family "Bacterial small subunit ribosomal RNA", at positions 31 to 778 of the family's 1533-position model. The record is from RNAcentral.
GGGCAAGUGGCGGCAGGCUACACAUGCAGUCGAGCGGAUGAGAGGAGCUUGCUCCUCGAUUCAGCGGCGGACGGGUGAGUAAUGCCUAGGAAUCUGCCUGGUAGUGGGGGACAACGUUUCGAAAGGAACGCUAAUACCGCAUACGUCCUACGGGAGAAAGCAGGGGACCUUCGGGCCUUGCGCUAUCAGAUGAGCCUAGGUCGGAUUAGCUAGUUGGUGAGGUAAUGGCUCACCAAGGCGACGAUCCGUAACUGGUCUGAGAGGAUGAUCAGUCACACUGGAACUGAGACACGGUCCAGACUCCUACGGGAGGCAGCAGUGGGGAAUAUUGGACAAUGGGCGAAAGCCUGAUCCAGCCAUGCCGCGUGUGUGAAGAAGGUCUUCGGAUUGUAAAGCACUUUAAGUUGGGAGGAAGGGUUGUUUCCUAAUACGAAGCAAUUUUGACGUUACCGACAGAAUAAGCACCGGCUAACUCUGUGCCAGCAGCCGCGGUAAUACAGAGGGUGCAAGCGUUAAUCGGAAUUACUGGGCGUAAAGCGCGCGUAGGUGGUUUGUUAAGUUGAAUGUGAAAUCCCCGGGCUCAACCUGGGAACUGCAUCCAAAACUGGCAAGCUAGAGUAGGGUAGAGGGUGGUGGAAUUUCCUGUGUAGCGGUGAAAUGCGUAGAUAUAGGAAGGAACACCAGUGGCGAAGGCGACCACCUGGACUCAUACUGACACUGAGGUGCGAAAGCGUGGGGAGCAAACAGGAU